AAAGGAUUACCAACUGAAGAUCACACAAUUGGCACAAAAGGUUCUAACGGACAGUUCCUUACAGUCAAGUGGAGAAGUGGUACUGCUGGAAACCAGAAAGCAAUUAUAACAUCACCACGUAUUUCUCAGACAAAUGUUUCAUGUAGCAUAGGAUUUUAUUAUUACAUGAACAGUGACCAAAUAUCAUUAACCGCACACUUGAAAACAGUGUCAACGCAACAGACAAAACAAAUAUGGGCCCACCAAGUAAAAGGAAAUGGUUGGACAUACAGUGGACCAAUUGAUAUCACUUCUCUCUCAAACCUAGGGUACUUUCAGGUUCUGAUUCAAGCUCAAAUAAAGCCUGGUUUUGCUUUUGGUAAAGUCGUAUCCAUCGACGAUGUAACAUUCACUGGCUGUGGUA
Molecule: long non-coding RNA, 403 nt
Organism: Lingula anatina
Lineage: Eukaryota; Metazoa; Brachiopoda; Lingulata; Lingulida; Lingulidae
Source: RefSeq, a predicted model, not a curated record